CACAAGUCACUAUAUGGUUUAAAGCAGACACCUAGGCAAUGGAAUUUUAAACUAAUAGAAGCAUUACUUCAGCUGGGAUUUGUUCAAAGCCACUAUGACUAUUCUCUAUUUACCAGAAGUGAAAAUAAAAAGUUGAUAAUAAUUCUUGUUUAUGUUGAUGACCUUCUGAUAACUAGAAGCUGCAAGAAGCUGAUUGACAGGACCGGGAAUGAUCUGCAACUUAAAUUCAAAAUGAAAGACCUAGGAGAAUUGAAGUUUUUCCUUGGAAUUGAAUUCGCCAGAUCAAAAGAAGGUUAUAUUAUGAGCCAACGUAAGUAUGCCUUGGAACUUGUCUCAGAAAUGGGUCUAAGUGGUGCCAAGCCAGUCAACACUCCACUGGAUCCAAACCUCAGACUAACCUCUAUUGAAUAUGACUCACAUGUACAAGAGGCAAACACUACAUCAAGUGACAAACCUUUGGAAGAUAUUGGUAGAUAUCAAAGCCUUGUAGGGAAACUGUUGUAUCUAACUAUGACCAGGGUAGAUAUCUCCUUUGCAGUACAAGUUCUAAGUCAAUAUAUGCAUGCACCCAAAGAGUCUCAUAUGGAAGCUACACUUAGAGUAGUCAAAUACAUCAAGUCAGCUCCAGGUUUGGGUUUGUUUAUGCCCUCACAAGAUUCUAAUCAAUUGACUGUUUACUGUGACUCUGAUUGGGGUACUUGCUUACAAACGAGAAGAUCUGUGACUGGAUACUUAGUGAAGUUUGGAAAUGCUCUUGUAUCUUGGAAGGCAAAGAAGCAAGAAACAAUUGCUAAAAGUUCUGCAGAAGCUGAGUUUAGGAGUAUGGCAUCUGCAGUAGCUGAAAUUACUUGGCUCAUUGGCAUACACAGUGAACUAGGAGUAACCAUCAAACAACCAGUUGAUCUAUUCUGUGACAGCAAGGCUGCAAUUCAGAUUGCAGCCAACCCUAUUUUUCAUGAGCGAACUAAGCAUUUUGAUAUUGAUUGCUAUUUUGUUAGAGAGAAACUGCUUAAAAAAAUGAUUCAGACACAUCAUGUAUCCACAAAAGAUCAGCUGGCAGAUCUGCUCACAAAAGGUUUAUGGAAAGCUCCACACUCACAUCUUAUGUCCAAGCUGGGAAUGAAAGACAUUUUUCAGCCAUCAGCUUGAGGAUGGGUGUUAUGAAUAUGAGAAUCAAAAGUUACGCAUUGUGAUCAAUGUAACAGUAAAGUUAGUUACAAAAGUUUGUUAUAAUGUUAGUUAAAGGUAACUCUAGUUAAGUUAGACUAACUAGCUUGUACAGUUAAGAUACACUAUAAAUAGAGUAGUGUAGGCAUUAUUUGUAUUGUAUUAGAUUAUCAUUCAACACACAGAAAAGUUCUUCUUUGAUUGAAUCCUCUGCUCUGUAAUUCUUCAGAAUCCCCUAUCACCACCGAAGGUGAAAGCCUGGAUGGAUGAUAUUAAAAUAAAAAUAAAAACGAGACCUUCAGCCUUUAGAACAAAAGAGAUUAUAAUGCAACUUAAUGUCAUCUAGUCCAAAUUUUGCACUAAGAGAAAUUCACUGCCGGUAAUAUAAUAAGAUAUAUGCUUUUGCUGAGAAAUAUUGGAAACAGAUUUUGUCAGCAUAAAAUGCACUUCUUGUUGGUUGUUAGGUAAUUAGACUUGCUUUCAACUUUCAAGCAUAACGAAUAGUUUAGUUCAACAUGUAUAGUAGAAAAAACAAUAGGCAAAAAAUGGUCUAAAUUUCAAAUGAUUGGUCGACGAAUAUAGAAAAGACUUAGAAUAGCAAUUCAUCUUCUGUAGGAAACAAGUACUGGUCUAUCUAUCAAGUUGGUAAUUUCAAAAAUCAUCAAUACUUCCAACCAAAACAAAUUGAAUUAGUUAAUUGUACUCCCAAAGUAAAAGGAUAUUACACUUUUAGUCACUAAGAGGUAGUUUGACCGGAGAUAUUAGAGAAAAUAAUAUUUGUAUUAGCUUUGAUACUACAUAAUUUAUUGUUUGGUAUACCUAUAUAAUUAAUUAUAUAGAGUGAUACAUUAUAUUCAGUAUUAUUAUAUAUUCACCAUGACAUUAACAAUAUAUACUAGUACUAUUCCUAUAUAUUCUAGUACAGUAUACUCCAAUUGGAUUACAUUUUUUAGAAAUUUAUACGAUAUAUAAUAUAUAUGUGUUAGUAUUUGAUGCAACAAACCAGACAAACGAUAAAUGAAAUAUCAGCAUGAACAUUACUAACCAUAUUAAGUAGUAUUCUUAUGUGGCAUUUCAAUCCCUAAAAGAUAAUAAUUACAUAUAAGUAUAUAACCAUUUAUAAAAGGCAAGACUUCGUUACACUACGACAAAGUGAUAUUUAGUGGGAAUCGAUUUUUCUCUUAGUAUUGCCACAAAAAAAAAUUGCGACAAUAUUUUGCGAUAAUUGAGUUAAUUCAAAGAUGCUACAGUUUUUCACGAUAUUUAUAUAGAAUGCUGAUAGUAAGUAUCAAAAAUUAUUAUUAUUAUUAAAUAUAUUAUAACAAUUAGAAUCUUAUUUUAAUCAAUCAAAUUUUAGUCAUUAAUUCUUGCAUAUGCCAUGUGUCUCACAUCCAAGCAAGAACUUGGGAAAAAUGAAGAAAAGAGAAAUAGAGAGUAACCGGAUCCAUUAUAAGGCAUAUUGUCAUUUGUCCGUAUUUAUAAGUUAAAUUUUAAAAAAAUUCAAACAACUGCCAGUGGCCAUAAAUGAAAAUGAUGCAUCCAGAAAAAUACGUCUGGACCUUCUGUAGUAAGGAAUGGUCUCUUCCAAGUCCAAUAAAAAAGACUGCAAAGUCCAUCCACUACUACUGUAACAUGAGGCUAAACUGCACUCUCAAUACAUAGAAAAAUUAACCAACAAUGCAUUAUCUAUCACACAUUCAUAUCCUGGAUGAGAUAAGAUUCACCAUCUUCCGACACGUGGCACUUCUAUUCUUGUCUAUUAAAAUAAAAGACACUUAGCUCCAAUUUCUUAUCUUUCAUGUGGCCAUUAAAUUUUGUAAUAUCAACAGCCACAUAAUCCAAUGGUCACCCUUCAUCUAAGAUGAGGUUUCCUUUGUUUCUAUCCGUUAGAUUAAAAAAAACGUCUAACACCUUAUCAUUAUAUAAAGGGAGUAAGCCACAGUGUAAUAAGCAUCUUAAAAAAAAAACAAGUUUCUUUGAAGUAAAAAAAAAAAAAACGUUUUAUAGCUAAGUAGUAACGUAAUGGCUUCCUCAAUUGUCUCCUCAGCAGCCGUUGCUACCCGUAGCAAUGUUGCUCAAGCUAGCAUGGUCGCACCCUUCACCGGACUCAAAUCCGCCGCGUCUUUCCCCGUUACUAAGAAGAACAACAACGUUGACAUUACUUCCCUUGCUAGCAACGGUGGACGUGUUAGAUGCAUGCAGGUUCAAAUAAUAAUUAUCAGUAUAUAUAUAUAAAAUUUAAAUUAACUAGUUGUCGUUUAUUUAUAAAAUAAAUGUGUUAAUGUAGGUGUGGCCACCAAUUAACAUGAAGAAAUACGAGACAUUGUCAUACCUUCCUGACUUGUCCGAUGAGCAAUUGCUCAAGGAAGUUGAGUACCUUUUGAAAAAUGGAUGGGUUCCUUGCUUGGAAUUCGAGACUGAGGUCAAUAUCUCCUACAUACUUUUACAUGUGUAAUUUAAUUUGUUGAAGGAGAAAAUAAAUGUAUGUUAUAUUGUUGUGUACAGCACGGAUUUGUGUACCGUGAGCACAACAGCUCACCAGGAUACUACGAUGGUAGAUACUGGACCAUGUGGAAGUUGCCUAUGUUUGGGUGCACUGACGCAACCCAGGUGUUGGCUGAGGUUCAAGAGGCCAAGAAUGCGUACCCACAGGCCUGGAUCCGUAUUAUCGGAUUCGACAACGUUCGUCAAGUGCAGUGCAUCAGUUUCAUUGCCUACAAGCCAGAAGGAUACUAAAUUUCAUCAAACCUAUAAUUAAUUACUCCUAUCGACAUGUUUUUUGCGUUUUGUACCGGUGUAUUUUCCUCGAUUCCGACCAAGUUAUGAGAAAUUAAUAAUGAUGAAUCUUUAAUUAUAUGUUUUUUUGUGGUGUGUAUGAGUUUUAUUAUCCAAACUAAAAAUCUCUCUUUAAAUAUGAAAACGACACAUUAACUACUCCUUUUAUCCUAACAACUUUAGCACAACGAUUAAAUAGCCACCGCAUGUGACAUUAAUUAUCUUAAAUGAAAAGAAUUGUAUCACAUUGAGACAUCGAUUCAAUAAUUAGUGAGAAUGAAAAAGACUUCAUUUUCUGCCUGGAAAAAUGCCGUAACUUAAGUAAGAUUUUUUUUUUAUUUCACAAAUUAGUGAAUUCAAAUCUUACACUUUUGAUUCAUCAAUGUAAAAAGAAUAAAUUAAAAAUCCUAUUAUUUGUAUUAUUUAUGUGAGGCACAAAAUAAAUAUCUUCGUAAGAGUAACCAACCUUCUAGGCUUAUCAUGAUCAGUUGGGCCCUGGAUGUUUACACUUGUGGCCACUGGCCAUGCUCAACAAGGACCGGUCAAUUAUUGUAUUUUGUUGUUAUCCUUUUGUCUUUUUUAUUGGUUUUUUUUUUUAAAGAGUUUGAAGUUUUAUGUAUCGAAUAGUUGAUAUGUUAAUAGUUAUUAAAUACAAAUUUAUAUAUAUAUUCUAAAUUAACGUAUAAUAUACAUAAAUGGUGUAUAAUUUUUUUAUAUUUGACUAACGGCUAAAAUUCAUUUAAAUUGAGCAAGUAAAUGUAUUAUGACCCCUAAAUUUUUUUAGCUCAAACACCAAUUUAGUGAUUUUUGCUUUAAAAAAACUGAAAAUUGUAUUGUUGGUGAUCAGUAGAAAGUGUUGAAGAAGAGAAAUCAUUGUAAGUUUGAAGAAGAGAAAAUACAUAAAACUCCCCCCUAAACUUGGCAGUACAACUUACUUUAGCACUUAAACUACACAGGCUUUUAAUAUCCCCAUUAACAUCUUUGAAGUGAAUUAAAUACAACUCUAAAUACUGACUCCUCCACAGCGAUAGCACUACUGGAGCAUGACCAUUCGCAAUACACUAACAUUAUAUCUGAAUGCAGGUCACUAAUGCAGCAGGGGAAUACCAAAACCACUCCACACAUUCAGGGAGUAGAACAAGGUGGCGGACAUACUGGCUAAAAUGGGUAGGACAAUACAAUCCAACAGCGGGAGGAUGCAGAUUUUGGAAGCCCCACCACAUUAUGCCUUCAAAGCAUGGGAAGCUGACAAGAAUGGGCUUUAUUUUGAUAGAAUGGUAGUAGUAACUAGUCCCAACGAGACAACGGAGAAUCCCCCUAUUUCAAACUAUGUAAUGAACAAUGAAGUCCGUGUGCUUCACCUUUAAGCUUUUUAUAUAAUUACUCUAUUUCUAUCAAAAACAAAUAAAUACAACCCUGAGAAUAGAAUACCACUCUCACCUGUCACAUCAUAACCAUGUAAGCACCACGUCAUUAAUUUUCAAUCUUUUUUUUGCUUAUUCACCUUUUCUCUUAACCAUUUUCUUAAAAUUUAUUACACUAAUCAAUUAAUUUAAAAUACAUUUUAAAAUCAAAAUUGCCCCAUCUUCUUCCACCCCUUCUCUUCUACCCCCCCCCCCCUACUCUUUC
This 5571-nucleotide long non-coding RNA is filed under the name Solanum tuberosum (potato). RNAcentral describes it as "long non-coding RNA (STUB_LNC002805)". Lineage: Eukaryota; Viridiplantae; Streptophyta; Magnoliopsida; Solanales; Solanaceae. The record is from RNAcentral.